This 564-nucleotide ribosomal RNA is filed under the name Streptomyces sp. 334A09. RNAcentral describes it as "bacterial SSU rRNA". It matches the Rfam family "Bacterial small subunit ribosomal RNA", at positions 93 to 671 of the family's 1533-position model. The record is from RNAcentral. Lineage: Bacteria; Bacillati; Actinomycetota; Actinomycetes; Kitasatosporales; Streptomycetaceae.
UAGUGGCGAACGGGUGAGUAACACGUGGGCAAUCUGCCCUUCACUCUGGGACAAGCCCUGGAAACGGGGUCUAAUACCGGAUAACACUUUUCCCUGCAUGGGGGAGGGUUGAAAGCUCCGGCGGUGAAGGAUGAGCCCGCGGCCUAUCAGCUUGUUGGUGGGGUGAUGGCCUACCAAGGCGACGACGGGUAGCCGGCCUGAGAGGGCGACCGGCCACACUGGGACUGAGACACGGCCCAGACUCCUACGGGAGGCAGCAGUGGGGAAUAUUGCACAAUGGGCGGAAGCCUGAUGCAGCGACGCCGCGUGAGGGAUGACGGCCUUCGGGUUGUAAACCUCUUUCAGCAGGGAAGAAGCGUGAGUGACGGUACCUGCAGAAGAAGCGCCGGCUAACUACGUGCCAGCAGCCGCGGUAAUACGUAGGGCGCAAGCGUUGUCCGGAAUUAUUGGGCGUAAAGAGCUCGUAGGCGGCUUGUCGCGUCGGAUGUGAAAGCCCGGGGCUCAACCCCGGGUCUGCAUUCGAUACGGGCAGGCUGGAGUGUGGUAGGGNAGAUCGGAAUUCCU